This 62-nucleotide transfer RNA is filed under the name Ledra auditura. Its description in RNAcentral is "tRNA-Asn". Lineage: Eukaryota; Metazoa; Arthropoda; Insecta; Hemiptera; Cicadellidae. The record is from RNAcentral. RNAcentral also lists the same sequence under 1 other name.
UUAAUUGAAGCCAAUUAGGCAGUUUAUUGUUAAUAAACUUUUUGAGUUUUUCUCCUGUUAAA